RNAcentral lists this ribosomal RNA (238 nucleotides) under uncultured bacterium. Its description in RNAcentral is "partial 16S ribosomal RNA". It matches the Rfam family "Bacterial small subunit ribosomal RNA", at positions 15 to 230 of the family's 1533-position model. The record is from RNAcentral.
GAUCAUGGCUCAGGACGAACGCUGGCGGCGUGCUUAACACAUGCAAGUCGAACGAAGAGCGAUGGAAGCUUGCUUCUAUCAAUCUUAGUGGCGAACGGGUGAGUAACGCGUAAUCAACCUGCCCUUCAGAGGGGGACAACAGUUGGAAACGACUGCUAAUACCGCAUACGAUCCAAUCCCGGCAUCGGGACUGGAUGAAAGGUGGCCUCUAUUUAUAAGCUAUCACUGAAGGAGGGGA